Molecule: RNA transcript, 3955 nt
Organism: Solea senegalensis (Senegalese sole)
Lineage: Eukaryota; Metazoa; Chordata; Actinopteri; Pleuronectiformes; Soleidae
Gene name: RNA-binding protein with multiple splicing-like
Exons: 9
Source: RefSeq, a predicted model, not a curated record
UCCUCCACCCCUCCCUCCCUCAUGCGGAGAUGGGGAGAGGGAAGAAGUUUGCCGGCGGCACGGUCCAGUCCACAUUUACCGUGAUUUCAUUAGGGGAACAGCAACAAGAGCCCGCGGUGAAGCUUUUCCAGGGAGUGCUGAGGAAUAUCCCACAGCUCAGACACAGCUCUCACGGCCCACUCUCCCUCUGUUUUAAUGAAAAACAAUAUCUGGAGUCAUUAUUGAUGUCGCCGAAGUAGUGAGGGAAGCUCGGGUCAGUGGGACAGCGUCCGCGCGCUGUCGGAGUCCGUUGUGUCCUCCUUUUAACGGCUCUGGUCCUGGAGAAGAAGCCGAAGAAGAAGAAGAAGAACGACGCGGAAGACGGCAGGAGAACAAGAGGAAGACAGAAGACAGUCCAAGUGAAAGUGACAGAGUCCGCUUCAGGAUGAAUAACAACAAAAUCGAGAAAGAAAACGAGCCGAGCGAAUUCACCAACCACGAAGAGGAGGUCCGAACGCUAUUUGUCAGUGGACUACCACUGGAUAUUAAGCCGCGGGAGCUCUACCUCCUGUUCAGACCAUUUAAGGGCUAUGAAGGUUCCUUGAUAAAACUCACUUCUAAACAGCCAGUGGGCUUUGUCAGCUUUGACAGUCGAUCAGAGGCAGAGGCUGCUAAGAAUGCCUUGAACGGGGUCAGGUUUGAUCCGGAAAUCCCCCAGACCCUGCGGCUGGAGUUUGCCAAGGCCAACACCAAGAUGGCCAAGAACAAGCUGGUCGGCACUCCCAACCCUCCUCCAUCUCAGCAGAGCCCUGGGCCACAGUUCAUCAGCAGAGACCCAUAUGAGCUCACAGUGCCUGCUCUAUAUCCCAGCAGCCCAGAUGUGUGGGCGUCAUACCCACUCUACCCGGCGGAGCUGUCGCCGGCCCUCCCACCCGCUUUCACCUACCCUUCCUCACUCCAUGCUCAGAUUCGCUGGCUCCCACCUGCAGAUGGAACUCCUCAGGGAUGGAAGUCCAGGCAGUUCUGCUGAAGUAUGUGUUCCUGAUGUGUGAUGGUGGCCGUGGCCGGCUGUGACAGGCGUUGCCAAUUGUUUCUCAUGUCCAAUUAGAAACCAGGAGGACUGACCUGACUCAAGCUCCUGGAGCAGCGUACCGUCGACAGCAGCAGCCUCUGGGCCUCAGGACAUACUAGACCCCAGCCUCCAUCACACAUCGAGCCCCCCACCACCGUCCCCAAAAUCCCUCCAACUCUUUUGUUUUUAUACUGUUACAUACUCAAGAUUUACUGGCAGUGCUUUGGCUCCACCUCCUCUCACAGCGCCAUGAAAGGUAGCAGGCAUGCACACACACACACCCCUUGUUUAGCAGUUGACAGACAGCAUUGCGUUUCUUAAGGCUACAUCCACACUAAUACGUUGUAGUUUUGCUACCACAUACAUUUAACACCUGCCGUCCAGUGCACUCAGGAGUUUUGGAAACAUUGCUGGCCCUGUUUUUGUUUGUUAACUCUGGGGUUGCAUUUUAGUCGGGCGGAAACGGAGGCCUUGGAAAUGAUGGCGCAGGUGCUCUUGUUUGCUCCCUCAUUAGGUUACGAUGCAUUUUUCCCUGGUGCUCUUAUCAUGUGACCCAUUUAAUGAAGAGCACACACUGCAUCAGCCUCAACCGCCGCUUGUAAUGAAUUGCUAACACGUACCGGUUUCACCUCGUCAUUUGAAAAAGGUUUUUGAAAAAGGCUGUUCCUCAUUCCUAAUUUCUACUGUAUGAGGACGGAGCAGAAGUGGCUCAUUUAAUGAUAUUUCUGUUGCAUUUUUAUCCAAACACCAGUUACAGGUACAUGGUUAACAGACAGGUAGACAGACGUUCCGUGCAUUUACAGAUGUGUGGAAGGUUAAGUUAAACUCUCAUCUAGGUUGAGAUUGGUUUAAAGAUGCUACUUGGACGUAGCCCAGCGUUAGCAGGUAUUUUGCUUUGCAUUAUAUAUAUGCAUCUGUAAAUACAACCAUGCCAAAGGAGUGCAUGUAUGUUUCAUUCUCUCAAUUUGCAAGGCCAUAUGUGUGGACGUGUGGCCAAAGCACUGCUUGAUAAUGUUAUUAUAUUACUAUAAUUAUUACUAUUCUGUAUAUCAUUCAUAUUAAUGUUAUUAUGAUUAUUAAAUACAUGUUGAAGCAUGACUUUGCAAAAAAAACGAAAAAAAACAAUGCUGUACAUUUUUAGAUAUUUUAAAGAAAUACAAAAAGGUAUUUUUGUAAUCCAGAUGUUUGAAAUGGUUCUGUUUGAUUGAUUAAUGUUGUGCGUGACGAACCUUUUUUUUUUUUGCCCUUCCUUUUGCGUGUGUCAUUAUAAAAUGGCUAGUCAUCCUGCUCUCCCAAGCAGUCCCGCUCCUGUCUGUUCUACAUACUGUGUGGAUUUAGAUUUGCCCGUGUGUGUGUUUGUGUGGUGUCUGCACCAAUGUUGCUUCACCUGAGCAGUCUGAUCCAGCUCGUAGUUUUUCAGUUUUGUAGGUAUUUAGAUGUGCUCAUGUGCUGUCAUCGACAGAAAUUAGCCCACGGUGAUGAAGGUAGAUUGACCUCAGAGACCGCAAUACAUGGCAGACUUGAGUUCUGCUAUAAUUAGGAAUAUGCCUCCUCAUUGUCUAGCAGCAGGACGGCAGCACAGCACAGAGGAAUAAAAGACCAAAGGCAUUUUUUUUACACUGGAGAGCUAUCUAGGCUAGUGGAGUUAUUCCAUUUCUGACUGCUUUGUAGUCCUCAAUCUGAUUCCUUAUGAAGUACGACAUUAUUUUUUGCUGCAUGUCUCCUUUGGUGUCACUCCAAAGAGCCAAUCUGAAUCUGAAAGGAUGUUCACUUUAAGCAUUUUGUCUCUCUCGUCUAUUUUUAGGAAGCCAAUGUGAUUCAAGCUUCUUUUGUUAAGUCAGAAUUUGCAUACAAAAGAUUGGAAUCUGUGAGAAGAAAAAAACACAACUUUUAUAAUCGUGUGUAUUCUGGGCCUGCAAUAACGUCUCUACUGUAUGACAUAUCAUCGAGUGAUGAUGUUUCUUUGACACUUUGACGCCAAAAUUCUCAUUCAUGUCGUGUACAAAACCAAACAUCUUUUCAUCUUUUCAUGAUAAGGCCAAGUCACAUAUUUUCAGGAAUGUGACAGUCAAAUAACAAUAAAACAAUAAUCUUUCCUCUUCAUAUUUAGCCCAGAUGUGUACAAUCAGACUAGUUGAAUCAUAUACUCAGUGUUUGUAAUUAUUAUUAAUAAUAAUGAUAAUAAUAAUAGUAACAAUUAUAAUGAUGAUGAUGAUGAUAUGCACGCACAUCAUUUUUGACUGAUUUGAAGCAGUUUUUGCUUUUACAGACCUUUUUAAGCCGAGUGUGGCACCAAAUUUAUAAGUAUUUAUAAGGUGUGCGUGUGUGUAUGUUUUUAUGGGUAUUAUGUUUUCGAAUUUCAUAGACAAUGCCCAUCAUAUGAUUAAUUGUAAGUAUUAUUGUAAGUUUAAUUGUAUAUUCAUUUUGGUAGUUUUUUUUUCCCCUAGAGCUUCAUUUUGUGUUUGCAGCCUCCUGAUUGGAACAUACUGUAUGUUGAAAUAUGAAUACUGUUUUAUCUUCACUGUGAAAUCCAUAGAAAAACAUGCUUUGAACGAAUGGAUAUUUUAGUGUUUUGUCAGCAGUACGGUACCGAAGUUCCCGUAAAUUAAUAUGAUCCCUCUUUUUGUCAAUGAAAAAUACUCCUUCCUUGUUUCAGUAUAUUGUGUGAAUACCUGUGUGUUCUGUGCAUGUUCACGGCAUGUGUGUGUUAUUUUCUUUGCCUUAAUGCAUACAGUACUGUUGAUAUUUAUGUACUUUAGCCUCAUAAGGAGAAACUGUAUUUCAGUGAAUUGCAGAGGUGUGUUUGUUUGAAACCAAAAAAAAAGUGAUCAAAAUGAGAAUUUUUUUAUGAAAAUGUUAAAUGAAGACAUUUCAGGCAAUCGGUCAUUAAAAAUUGACAUCAUC